Phoenix dactylifera (date palm) is the source of this 533-nucleotide non-coding RNA. The record is from RefSeq and is a predicted model, not a curated record. NCBI's taxonomy places the organism in Eukaryota, Viridiplantae, Streptophyta, Magnoliopsida, Arecales, Arecaceae.
CUUCCUUAAUUUGCAAAAUGAUUACAUAUACCCUCUCUCCCUCUCUGGAUGUGUUAUCCAACACAUCUUGACAACCAUGGGCAAGGUCACCCCUCACCUCGUCUUCACUCUCGUUCUUCUCUUAAUUAUCUUGCCUGUGAGAGGAGAUGUUGCUGCCUUCGAGCCGCAACCGAGAAUCAAAUAUCUACCGCCCGGCAUGGUCAAGGGCGAUGCCAAAUCUCAAUGCGGAACGUGCAAGUGCUGCGCUACCAACAACCCCAAUAACUGUUCAAAUAUGCAGUGCUGCUACCACGUCGAAUGCGGCUAUGUCGGCCAGCCUGGCGUCGAAUGCAACAUGGUGAUCGACGCCUGCAACUGUAACUCAUGUGGUUGAUCCUUCUAAAUACAUUAGGAUAGAAUAAAUUUAGUAAUUGAAUAAAUUGAGUAGCUGGCACGGGCGAACAAGUUUGAGCGUGUUGAUUGGAUUCUCCUGUGGUACAUGUUUUGGAAUUGCAAUUUAAUAAAGCAUAGCUACCUUAAGUUUUCGCUCUUCC